This 253-nucleotide ribosomal RNA is filed under the name uncultured bacterium. RNAcentral describes it as "partial 16S ribosomal RNA". It matches the Rfam family "Bacterial small subunit ribosomal RNA", at positions 524 to 776 of the family's 1533-position model. The record is from RNAcentral.
UACAGAGGGGGCAAGCGUUGUUCGGAAUUACUGGGCGUAAAGGGCGCGUAGGCGGCCUGCUAAGUCGAACGUGAAAUCCCUGGGCUCAACCCAGGAACUGCGUCCGAUACUGGUUGGCUUGAAUCCGGGAGAGGGAUGUGGAAUUCCAGGUGUAGCGGUGAAAUGCGUAGAUAUCAGGAGGAACACCAAUUGCGAAGGCAGCUCGCUGGAACGUAACUGACGCUGAGACGCGAAAGCGCGGGGAGCAAACAGG